UCCAGGGUGGCUGAGUGGUUAUAGCAUCAGGUCCAUUACCUGAUUAAAUCGUGGGUUCGAAUCGCACCCCUGGCA
This is a non-coding RNA of Trichonephila inaurata madagascariensis, 75 nucleotides long. Lineage: Eukaryota; Metazoa; Arthropoda; Arachnida; Araneae; Nephilidae. The record is from the annotation of a GenBank genome assembly.